GGAUGCGAUCAUACCAGCACUAAAGCACCGGAUCCCAUCAGAACUCCGAAGUUAAGCGUGCUUGGGCGAGAAUAGUACUAGGAUGGGUGACCUCCUGGGAAGUCCUCGUGUUGCAUUCC
Molecule: non-coding RNA, 119 nt
Organism: Triticum aestivum (bread wheat)
Lineage: Eukaryota; Viridiplantae; Streptophyta; Magnoliopsida; Poales; Poaceae
Source: Rfam